This 443-nucleotide ribosomal RNA is filed under the name uncultured bacterium. Its description in RNAcentral is "partial 16S ribosomal RNA". It matches the Rfam family "Bacterial small subunit ribosomal RNA", at positions 338 to 795 of the family's 1533-position model. The record is from RNAcentral.
CCUACGGGUGGCUGCAGUGGGGAAUAUUGGGCAAUGGGCGCAAGCCUGACCCAGCAACGCCGCGUGAAGGAAGAAGGCUUUCGGGUUGUAAACUUCUUUUCUCAGGGACGAAGCAAGUGACGGUACCUGAGGAAUAAGCCACGGCUAACUACGUGCCAGCAGCCGCGGUAAUACGUAGGUGGCAAGCGUUAGCCGGAUGUACUGGGUGUAAGGGGCGUGGAGGCGGGACUGCAAGUCAGAUGUGAAAACCACGGGCUCAACCUGUGGCCUGCAUUUGAAACUGUAGUUCUUGAGUACUGGAGGGGCAGACGGAAUUCCUGGUGUAGCGGUGAAAUGCGUAGAUAUUAGGAGGAACACCAGUGGCGAAGGCGGUCUGCUGGACAGAAACUGACGCUGAGGCGCGAAAGCUUGGGGAGCAAACAGGAUUAGAUACCCCAGUAGUC